ACGAACGCUGGCGGCGUGCUUAACACAUGCAAGUCGAACGGAAAGGCCCUGCUUUUGUGGGGUGCUCGGGUGGCGAACGGGUGAGUAACACGUGAGUAACCUGCCCUUGACUUUGGGAUAACUUCAGGAAACUGGGGCUAAUACCGGAUAGGAGCUCCUGCUGCAUGGUGGGGGUUGGAAAGUUUCGGCGGUUGGGGAUGGACUCGCGGCUUAUCAGCUUGUUGGUGGGGUAGUGGCUUACCAAGGCUUUGACGGGUAGCCGGCCUGAGAGGGUGACCGGCCACAUUGGGACUGAGAUACGGCCCAGACUCCUACGGGAGGCAGCAGUGGGGAAUAUUGCACAAUGGGCGGAAGCCUGAUGCAGCAACGCCGCGUGCGGGAUGACGGCCUUCGGGUUGUAAACCGCUUUCGCCUGUGACGAAGCGUGAGUGACGGUAAUGGGCAAAGAAGCACCGGCUAACUACGUG
This 467-nucleotide ribosomal RNA is filed under the name uncultured bacterium. RNAcentral's name for it is "partial 16S ribosomal RNA". It matches the Rfam family "Bacterial small subunit ribosomal RNA", at positions 29 to 507 of the family's 1533-position model. The record is from RNAcentral.